AACGCGAAGAACCUUACCAGGGCUUGACAUCCCUUGACCGCUAUGGAAACAUAGUUUUCGAUCUUUCGGGAUUGACAAGGAGACAGGUGGUGCAUGGUUGUCGUCAGCUCGUGUCGUGAGAUGUUGGGUUAAGUCCCGCAACGAGCGCAACCCCUACGUUUAGUUGCCAGCAUUAAGUUGGGCACUCUAAAGGAACUGCCGGUGACAAACCGGAGGAAGGUGGGGAUGACGUCAAAUCAUCAUGCCCCUUAUGUCCUGGGCUACACACGUGCUACAAUGGACGGUACAGAGGGCAGCGAAGCCGUGAGGUGAAGCCAAUCCCAAAAAGCCGUUCUCAGUUCGGAUUGUAGUCUGCAACUCGACUACAUGAAGUCGGAAUCGCUAGUAAUCGCGAGUCAGCAUAUCGCGGUGAAUACGUUCCCGGGUCUUGUACACACCG
Molecule: ribosomal RNA, 439 nt
Filed under: uncultured bacterium
Lineage: Bacteria
Description: bacterial SSU rRNA
Rfam family: Bacterial small subunit ribosomal RNA
Source: RNAcentral